UACAGGGGGGGCAAGCGUUGUUCGGAAUUACUGGGCGUAAAGGGCUCGUAGGCGGCCAACUAAGUCAUACGUGAAAUCCCUCGGCUUAACCGGGGAACUGCGUCUGAUACUGGAUGGCUUGAGAUUGGGAGAGGGAUGCGGAAUUCCAGGUGUAGCGGUGAAAUGCGUAGAUAUCUGGAGGAACACCGGUGGCGAAGGCGGCAUCCUGGACCAACACUGACGCUGAGGAGCGAAAGCUAGGGGAGCAAACGGG
This 253-nucleotide ribosomal RNA is filed under the name uncultured bacterium. Its description in RNAcentral is "partial 16S ribosomal RNA". It matches the Rfam family "Bacterial small subunit ribosomal RNA", at positions 524 to 776 of the family's 1533-position model. The record is from RNAcentral.